GGAAACCUCCUCCAUGAUUCAGUUACUUCCACCUGGUCUCUCCCUUGACAUGUAGGAAUUAGGAAGAUUGCAAUUCAAUGUGAGAUAUUGGGUGGAGGCACAGCCAAACAUAUCACCUUGAUGCACAGGCUCAAAAACAGUCCACAGGAUACCAUAACUGAGCUGGAAUAGAACAUGGGGCAUCUGAAAAGAAGAACCAAAAUAGAUGCCUGGUCUUCAACUAAAUGACCUGUUCAUCUUUUUCUAGAAAACUUUGGAACACCAAGGACGCAGUUAUCAUGCGAGUUCAGUCUCUCAGAACACACGUGGGGGAAUUUAGUAUUUCAACUUUUAGGUAGACAGUUUCUACAAGCUAAAUAAUGGAAAAAAAGGAUCCAAAUAAAGAAGUUAUAAAACACAUGAA
Molecule: non-coding RNA, 403 nt
Organism: Macaca mulatta (Rhesus monkey)
Lineage: Eukaryota; Metazoa; Chordata; Mammalia; Primates; Cercopithecidae
Source: RefSeq, a predicted model, not a curated record